RNAcentral lists this ribosomal RNA (253 nucleotides) under uncultured bacterium. RNAcentral describes it as "partial 16S ribosomal RNA". It matches the Rfam family "Bacterial small subunit ribosomal RNA", at positions 524 to 776 of the family's 1533-position model. The record is from RNAcentral.
UACGUAGGGGGCAAGCGUUGUCCGGAAUCAUUGGGCGUAAAGCGCGUGUAGGCGGCUCGGUAAGUCCGCUCUGAAAGUCCAGGGCUCAACCCUGGGAUGCGGGUGGAUACUGCCGGGCUCGAGUCCGGAAGAGGCGAGUGGAAUUCCCGGUGUAGCGGUGAAAUGCGCAGAUAUCGGGAGGAACACCUAUGGCGAAGGCAGCUCGCUGGGACGUUACUGACGCUGAGACGCGAAAGCGUGGGGAGCGAACAGG